CGUGGAACUGAAUUUAAUUCUCUGUGUCACAAUUUUCGCAGCUGUCUUUAAUGCCCAGGACAAACCAACAUACAAAUAAACGCAAUUGAACAGAAUAAGAAAACGGUAAUAAGUCGGGAAAAUCAAAGUGCAAAUCUGAACGCCAAAAAAAGCAGAGAGUGCGAGCAAGACAGCGCAUGCUGGGGCGCCGCAGGAGCUGUAGAAGAAGAAGCAGUGAGAGUGAAGUUAACUGGAAGUGGAGUGGAAAAAGAAGAGCGAAAAGAGAGCCAGCGAAAACAACAAAGAACAACCAGUCGACUCCAAAAAUUCGCCCUUUCAAUCUACCUCCAAACACGAGCAAAAUCGUCAUUUUAAGAAGCACAAUAACUAAAUGAAUAAACAAAAUAUUCACAUAAAGGCGGCGACAAACAACUCAACUCAAGUAAAACGGAACAGCGCCAUCUGGAGUAGGCAGAUAAAAGCAGCUGACAGACAAUGUACAAA
This 483-nucleotide small RNA is filed under the name Drosophila erecta. RNAcentral describes it as "GG26190". The record is from RNAcentral. Lineage: Eukaryota; Metazoa; Arthropoda; Insecta; Diptera; Drosophilidae.